This is a long non-coding RNA of Medicago truncatula (barrel medic), 263 nucleotides long. RefSeq lists it as uncharacterized. The transcript has 2 exons. The record is from RefSeq and is a predicted model, not a curated record. Lineage: Eukaryota; Viridiplantae; Streptophyta; Magnoliopsida; Fabales; Fabaceae.
AAAAUCUUCAAGAGAGUUAAGAUAAUCCAUGACGCGCCGUUCAAAUGGGAAUCUGCUUAUUUAAGCGAUGCAAAAAUUAAAGAAAUCAAGCACCAAAAUGAAUUAAACCGCAGAAUUCUGGAAAAUUUGAUGUGAAGAUUCAAAGAGCUACGGUAAAAGUCUUAAUUUUAACAAUAAUAUGAUUAUUUACAAGAGUUAGGAUCCGUUGACACCAAAUCUCAUCCCUCAAUCUAUUUAAUCCAAAGGCACAUAUUGUUGGUGUA